AUACGUAGGGGGCGAGCGUUGUCCGGAAUGAUUGGGCGUAAAGGGCGCGUAGGCGGCCCGGUAAGUCUGGAGUGAAAGUCCUGUUUUUAAGAUGGGAAUUGCUUUGGAUACUGUCGGGCUUGAGUGCAGGAGAGGUAAGUGGAAUUCCCAGUGUAGCGGUGAAAUGCGUGGAGAUUGGGAGGAACACCAGUGGCGAAGGCGGCUUACUGGACUGUAACUGAAGCUGAGGCGCGAAAGUGUGGGGAGCAAUCAGGAGUAGAUACCCUGGUAGUCCACACUGUAAACGAUGAAUUCUAGGUGGAGGGGGUAUCGACCCGUUCUGUGCCGCAGUCAACACAAUAAGCAUUCCGCCUGGGGAGUACGGCCGCAAGGUUGAAACUCAAAGGAAUUGACGGGG
RNAcentral lists this ribosomal RNA (397 nucleotides) under uncultured bacterium. RNAcentral's name for it is "partial 16S ribosomal RNA". It matches the Rfam family "Bacterial small subunit ribosomal RNA", at positions 523 to 918 of the family's 1533-position model. The record is from RNAcentral.